This 497-nucleotide ribosomal RNA is filed under the name uncultured bacterium. Its description in RNAcentral is "partial 16S ribosomal RNA". It matches the Rfam family "Bacterial small subunit ribosomal RNA", at positions 28 to 507 of the family's 1533-position model. The record is from RNAcentral.
GAUGAACGCUGGCGGCGUGCCUAAUACAUGCAAGUCGAGCGAACGGACGAGAAGCUUGCUUCUCUGAUGUUAGCGGCGGACGGGUGAGUAACACGUGGAUAACCUACCUAUAAGACUGGGAUAAAUUCGGGAAACCGGAGCUAAUACCGGAUAAUAUUUUGAACCGCAUGGUUCAAAAGUAAAAGACGGUCUCGCUGUCACUUAUAGAUGGAUCCGCGCUGCAUUAGCUAGUUGGUAAGGUAACGGCUUACCAAGGCAACGAUGCAUAGCCGACCUGAGAGGGUGAUCGGCCACACUGGAACUGAGACACGGUCCAGACUACUACGGGAGGCAGCAGUAGGGAAUCUUCCGCAAUGGGCGAAAGCCUGACGGAGCAACGCCGCGUGAGUGAUGAAGGUCUUCGGAUCGUAAAACUCUGUUAUUAGGGAAGAACAUAUGUGUAAGUAACUGUGCACAUCUUGACGGUACCUAAUCAGAAAGCCACGGCUAACUACGUG